Molecule: long non-coding RNA, 1716 nt
Organism: Teleopsis dalmanni
Lineage: Eukaryota; Metazoa; Arthropoda; Insecta; Diptera; Diopsidae
Exons: 7
Source: RefSeq, a predicted model, not a curated record
AAAUACUUCAAUUAAGAAUUUUUACUAAGUUUGUAAAUAUUUUGUAUGCUCUUAGAAAAUAUGUUAAUUGAAAGAGCAAGAGAAGUGACCCAAUGGCGCACCAGAGUCGUAAACCAUCUAUACUUAAAUAUAUGUGUACAAUAUUUAACUUUUCUCCAACCAAAAUACGUUUUAAAUUGGAAUAUUAGAACUGACUUCGUUUGUUAUGGGAUAUUAUCCAGAUGGAUUUAGUUAUUGUAAAUACAGAUAAUUUUAUAAUAAUUGGCCCAUUCGAUUUCAAUAAUAAGAAUUAAGCAAGUUAGACAUAGUAUUGGAUGAGAAAAGUAGAAGUCAAACAGUUAUAUGAAGGCUGUGAUCUAUUUAUUUCAAAGAACGGAUAACAGGAGGAUGGCGUUGUUUUACUUGGCUGUGUACAAAAUUAAAGUUAAAUUGUGUUAAACAUAAAAAUUUUAAUUGUGCGGAGGUAAAAUCGCAGAAAUAAUUAAAGUUUAUUUUUAUUCCACCUGAAAAUUCUGUAAAAACAGAAGAAUCGUUUUUAUUGAACACGACGUAUUAAUAAGAAUAAUUACAGUAUUCUGCAGAAAAUACAUAUUUUAAUAAAUAGUUCUACUGAGUCGGGAUAGUCAAUGUUGCUGCAGGUUUCCACAAGGCUACAACUCCAAAGCAGUUAAAUUACUUAACCACAACAUCACAGCUACAAAUUUAUAUCCAGAAAAAAGAGUAUAAAUUUUUUAAAUUUGAUUUAAGUCUUCAGCAGUUCGCACAUUUUUAUACCACUAAAACUUUUAUGGUACAGUGAGAAAAUUUUGAAUUUUUAUUAAAUCCCUCUAUUCUGGAUCAAAAUAUUAUUUUUUGGUUAAAUAAAGCAGAUAGACUAAGUAAAAAAAACUAAAAAGAGAGGAACCUAUUUCCAACUAGGAAAAGAGAAGGCAGUAGCGCUGUGGAGGAUUGGUGUUUUGUCUUGUCCCGAUCCUCAGCUACAACAAGAAGUCAGUAUACCGAUGGAUUUUGUCACACUUUUAGUGCACUCUAUGUAUCAUAUGCUGUGACUAAUUUUAAAAUUUUCAUUUCACAAGUGGACAAAUACUAACCAAAAUGAAUGUUAUCAAAAAGUUGUGUACCACGUUAGGUCAGAAAAUUUCAGUAUUCCUAUAAUUUGCUUGUGACAACUAAUAUCGACUAUUGGAAAUUUAUGAAUCAUGUUGAAAACAAGAACGUUUGCAAAGCUACAAUUGUUUUGUAGAUUAAUAAUUAUUUUACGGGAAUUCUAUCCUGAAAUAUAAACGAACGGUUUUAAAUCAGGAAAAGAUGUAUGUUCUUGCGGUGCAAAUAAAAAAAAUAUAGAAAUUAAAACUAAUUACUUCAUUACAAUAACUGAUAACAUGAACAGAUAAAGUAUUUUCAAUUGAAUGUAAUAAUAUACUAAUCAUCGUAAUAUGAGGAGUUGAAAUCUGACUUAAAAUACAUGAACUUAACGUUCUAACAACACUUCCAAAAAAGCAAAAUAAAAACUUUAUUGAACAACAAAACGGAAUUAUAAGGUUGGGACAAGCAUUUUUUUCUCGAAAAGGAUAUUUUUGGAUACCACUGAACCACUGAAUUCAAAUAUAAGAUCCAAUCCAAGGAAUAAAAUUAAUAUGAGAAAACAAAAAAUAACUCUCAAUAUAAAGCAGAUUUAAGUUUCCAAACAUCGUUCUCUGUACGUUCACAACUAUU